AAAGAAAUAAUCUAAUUUAAGAUAUCUCACUUACAAUGAGAAUAUGAUUUAUUCUUUCUUUU
This 62-nucleotide transfer RNA is filed under the name Echinolaelaps echidninus. RNAcentral's name for it is "tRNA-Val". Lineage: Eukaryota; Metazoa; Arthropoda; Arachnida; Mesostigmata; Laelapidae. The record is from RNAcentral.